UAAUCGUGUGAUAAAGAGGUGAAGUGAUUCAAAGUCACUUCUGUUGACCCCAGUAUGUGCACUUGUCCAAUUGCAACAAUUUGAAUCUCAAACUCAUUCUCAAUCACCAAGCAACAAUCAUGAAUACCCUGGUCCGAUUUUUAUAGACAAUUAAAUUCAGGAAGAAGUUAUGAAUCUGAUAGAAUUGAUCGUAAAUGACUAGUGUGAAAUAACAUGGGAAAUGCCACAAACUAAAGGGGAUAUACUUAGUUUCAUAACACACAAAAAAUAUAUUACAAUUUCUCUUAUCUACUAUUUGCAGUUUGCACUACAUUUGAGAAGAGCAAGCACAUACGCUAAGAGCAAGCACAUACGCUGCAGUUCAUAAAUUCCUCCACUAUGUUUCAGCAUCGCAAAUAGUGAGUACAGACUCCAGAUAACUCACAGGCUACUAUAAAUUGAUGCAGUCGAAACCUCCUCAAGAAUGAUUUCAACCAAGGCUGAAACUUGACUGAGUCUAAGUUUCAAGAUGAUAGUUUGGAAAAUUCAUCAGAAAUAAAAUUGCAAUUACUUAAGGCAAAAGACUCCAAGAUCUAAGAAAGGGGACAUAACAUUAAGUAGGAGAAAGCAUUAUAGUAGUUCAAGGAAAAAAAAAAGAAAGCUAA
Molecule: long non-coding RNA, 644 nt
Organism: Beta vulgaris subsp. vulgaris (sugar beet)
Lineage: Eukaryota; Viridiplantae; Streptophyta; Magnoliopsida; Caryophyllales; Amaranthaceae
Exons: 2
Source: RefSeq, a predicted model, not a curated record